This 497-nucleotide ribosomal RNA is filed under the name uncultured bacterium. RNAcentral describes it as "partial 16S ribosomal RNA". It matches the Rfam family "Bacterial small subunit ribosomal RNA", at positions 28 to 507 of the family's 1533-position model. The record is from RNAcentral.
GAUGAACGCUGGCGGCGUGCCUAAUACAUGCAAGUCGAGCGAACAGACGAGGAGCUUGCUCCUCUGACGUUAGCGGCGGACGGGUGAGUAACACGUGGAUAACCUACCUAUAAGACUGGGAUAACUUCGGGAAACCGGAGCUAAUACCGGAUAAUAUAUUGAACCGCAUGGUUCAAUAGUGAAAGACGGUUUUGCUGUCACUUAUAGAUGGAUCCGCGCCGCAUUAGCUAGUUGGUAAGGUAACGGCUUACCAAGGCAACGAUGCGUAGCCGACCUGAGAGGGUGAUCAGCCACACUGGAACUGAGACACGGUCCAGACUCCUACGGGAGGCAGCAGUAGGGAAUCUUGCGCAAUGGGCGAAAGCCUGACGGAGCAACGCCGCGUGAGUGAAGAAGGUCUUCGGAUCGUAAAACUCUGUUAUUAGGGAAGAACAAAUGUGUAAGAAACUAUGCACGUCUUGACGGUACCUAAUCAGAAAGCCACGGCUAACUACGUG